UACGUAGGGUGCGAGCGUUGUCCGGAAUUACUGGGCGUAAAGCGUGCGUAGGUGGUUCGUUAAGUCUGAUUUGAAAGCCCUGGGCUCAACCUGGGAAUGGCAUUGGAAACUGGUGAUCUAGAGUGCGGUAGAGGGUAGUGGAAUUCCCGGUGUAGCAGUGAAAUGCGUAGAGAUCGGGAGGAACAUCUGUGGCGAAGGCGACUGCCUGGACCAGCACUGACACUGAGGCACGAAAGCGUGGGGAGCAAACAGG
This 253-nucleotide ribosomal RNA is filed under the name uncultured bacterium. RNAcentral's name for it is "partial 16S ribosomal RNA". It matches the Rfam family "Bacterial small subunit ribosomal RNA", at positions 524 to 776 of the family's 1533-position model. The record is from RNAcentral.